CUUUUCCACAUCAAUCCUUAUUCCCCAGAGAGAGAGAGAGAGAGAGAGAGAGGGAGGAAUACUGCAAUGGGAAAAAGAAGAAGAGUCAACUGGCUACUUCCCAAUCACCAGUUUGAAUGUUUGACUGUAUAAUGGGCAGCAGCCAACCAUUGGCCUUCAUCAAUCUCUAGAAAGUCUCUGCCAAGACUUUUGAGGUCACAUAUGAAAGGAGGGCGGAAGUGGCGCGAAGCUGCCAACCACAAGUCAGGAACAUGAAAGAUACAAAUGUCUACAUACCCCCUUUCGAUCUUGUUCAUCCGACUCCCUAUCCCACCCACCGGAGCUGCAGAAAUGGAGCAUCCUAUCGCUGCAAGGACUCUUUCUUCCAUGUUCAUGGUUGUCCUCCUCUUGUCACCUCUCCUGAUCCUUCCAUCCGACUCGAGGGAAGUCCCAAGUCACACAGGUGAAGGAGGCACGGCGACUCUACGGAGCUUUGCGAGCUUGGCAAGACGGACAGAGUUUGCACCACCUUCGCCAACAGCUAACAGCAACGAUUCUCCUGGUACAGGCUGAUCCGAGUGAGGCCACGCAGCUUCUGCAACUACUGCUCUUCUUCUUCUUCUUGAUGCUGUGCUGUGUUUCAUCCUCACCAUGCCCUCCUGUUCAUCUUGUCUCUCUCCAUGAUGCUCGUCUUCAGUUUGGUGUGUGUGAACAAUAAGAGAGUCUUACAUGGUCAUAGUUCCUAUUUAUUCUGCUCA
Molecule: long non-coding RNA, 737 nt
Organism: Musa acuminata AAA Group (dessert banana)
Lineage: Eukaryota; Viridiplantae; Streptophyta; Magnoliopsida; Zingiberales; Musaceae
Exons: 2
Source: RefSeq, a predicted model, not a curated record